GACGAACGCUGGCGGCGUGCCUAACACAUGCAAGUCGAACGGACGGACCGUAGCUUGCUCCCAUACCGUCAGGGGCGGCCGGGUGAGUAACAGGUUGUCACCUUCCCUGUAAUUUUGGGAUAACUCCGGGAACCCGGGGCAAUUACCGAAUAACUCUUUCCCUCCCUUGAGGGAAAGCGAAAAUAUGGCCUCUCGCUAUCGCUUACACAGCUGCCCGCGUCGCAUUUGGUAGAUGGUGAGGUAACGGCUCACCAAGGCGACGAGGCGGAGCCGACGUGAGAGGAUGAUCGGCCACACGGGAACUGAGACACGGACCAGACUCCUACGGGAGGCAGCAGUAGGGAAUCGUCGGCAAUGGACGAAAGUCUGACGGAGCAACGCCGCGUGAGUGAUGAAGGCUUUCGGAUCGUAAAGCCCUGUUGUCAGGGAAGAACAGGUACCGGCGUAACUGCCGCUACCUUGACGGUACCUGACCAAGAAGCACCGGCUAACUACGUG
Molecule: ribosomal RNA, 498 nt
Filed under: uncultured bacterium
Lineage: Bacteria
Description: partial 16S ribosomal RNA
Rfam family: Bacterial small subunit ribosomal RNA
Source: RNAcentral